This 836-nucleotide long non-coding RNA is filed under the name Homo sapiens (human). Its description in RNAcentral is "HSALNT0300487". Lineage: Eukaryota; Metazoa; Chordata; Mammalia; Primates; Hominidae. The record is from RNAcentral.
GAGUACUCUAGGCAUUCCUGGCAGAGGAUACAGCAGGAGCAAAGGCCUGGAGGCUAAAAAUAGCUUGCGGGCAGGGGAGCUACCAGCAGUUCAGUGCUUCUGGAGUUUAAAGAGCCCGGCGAGGGUCAUGUCAGAUGACGCCGGUCCACGAGAAGGAGGGUGGAUUAUAUCCUUAGAGACGCCAUAGAGUGAGGAUAUAAUGGCUCUGUAACAAGCAUAAACUGUGAUGGUCUGGGAUGCCCUCGUCAUAGACAGCCCCUGGAGAGUCAUAGAGUCUCACUCUGUCGCCCAGGCUGGAGUGCAUUGGCACGAUCUCAGCUCACUGCAACGUCCGCCUCCCGGGUUCAAAUAAUGUUUAUCGAUGAGAAAACAGAAAUUUGAAGAGGCAAAGCAAGUUGCCCAAGGCCAAGGGAGAAGGUCAGCGUGAACUGCUACCGCCAUGUUGAAGUUCAUCUUCUCUUCACUGCGAGAAGCUGCCUGGACACCAGGGUGGAGGAGCUGUCAGGGCCCUCACUGUGGAAGGAAGGUCCACAGAAAACAUCCUGGGGUCCUGAGCUGAAGUGUGAUGGGAGGAGUCCUCUGUAUCUCAGUCUGAUCCUGGUCUCCCUCUCGGCCAUGGUCUCACACUAGUGCUGCUGGGAAACCAUCCCUCACAUCCAGUCCUGGCAUCGGGCAGUGACUCUGGUCCAACUGUUGUCCAACUCAAGGGUUUAGCUGCUUAGAUUUUCCUAAAACUUGAAUUUCAUUUUCCUCUAGCCAUGGAAUACAGAUUAAUCCUUUACAAUUAAAAUCCAAGUUCAGAUUUUAUUUGUUGUGGUUUUUAAUUAAAAUCUCAC